RNAcentral lists this non-coding RNA (21 nucleotides) under Caenorhabditis elegans. The record is from RNAcentral. Lineage: Eukaryota; Metazoa; Nematoda; Chromadorea; Rhabditida; Rhabditidae.
UUUUUAGUUUUCGUUGUGGAC